GACGAACGCUGGCGGCGUGCCUAAUACAUGCAAGUAGAACGCACAGUUUAUACCGUAGCUUGCUACACCAUAGACUGUGAGUUGCGAACGGGUGAGUAACGCGUAGGUAACCUGCCUGGUAGCGGGGGAUAACUAUUGGAAACGAUAGCUAAUACCGCAUAAUAUUAAUUAUUGCAUGAUAAUUAAUUGAAAGGUGCAAUUGCACCACUACCAGAUGGACCUUCGUUGUAUUAGCUAGUAGGUGAGGUAACGGCUCACCUAGGCGACGAUACAUAGCCGACCUGAGAGGGUGAUCGGCCACACUGGGACUGAGACACGGCCCAGACUCCUACGGGAGGCAGCAGUAGGGAAUCUUCGGCAAUAGACGAAAGUCUGACCGAGCAACGCCGCGUGAGUGAAGAAGGUUUUCGGAUCGUAAAGCUCUGUUGUAAGAGAAGAACGGGUGUGAGAGUGGAAAGUUCACACUGUGACGGUAUCUUACCAGAAAGGGACGGCUAACUACGUG
RNAcentral lists this ribosomal RNA (505 nucleotides) under uncultured bacterium. RNAcentral's name for it is "partial 16S ribosomal RNA". It matches the Rfam family "Bacterial small subunit ribosomal RNA", at positions 28 to 507 of the family's 1533-position model. The record is from RNAcentral.